CGCGAGCCGAAGCGUAACGACGUCUGCUUCAUCGCCAUCGACAUUCUCCAACCGCCGUUUCCUUUGUUCUCCGGCUUUGGGGUUAUGUAUCCACACACACUGACAUGGAUAGCCCCACGCAUGUGUAAAGUUCCUGGUGUCUCUACAACACUGAAGAGUCAGGCAUAAACCGGAAGACGUCCCUUGGGUCUGCCAGUGAUUAGGCUGCUUCUGCAUGUACCAUCUAUACUCCGAAAGGAACUGCGGGAUGACGGUUCCGAAGUGGCGUAGCAAUCACGUGAUUAUUAUUAUGACCAUCAUCGUCUUAUUAUACGUCUUAUCAGUGUCACCCUAUAUUGUUAAUAGUUGGCCUAUUUAUGUUGUAAUAUCAUAUUUUGUACUAUUAGGAACAGCAU
Molecule: long non-coding RNA, 395 nt
Organism: Ornithodoros turicata
Lineage: Eukaryota; Metazoa; Arthropoda; Arachnida; Ixodida; Argasidae
Exons: 3
Source: RefSeq, a predicted model, not a curated record